AGUUAUCUUGUUUGCCCUUCCAAUCAACUGCAAUCCGCUGAUUAGGACUCCUCAUUAUUUGGUUUUGCGGAAAAGAAACUUGAUCCACAAUGAAUCCACAACAAAGAAUAUGAAAACCAUCUUGAUCCUACAUAACAUAAUCUGAUGCGGACACAUGGAUGACUCUGUAUCCCUCUGUCUUCAGUUCCUUCACCCUGGCUCGCAAGACCGUUUGUGACAUAUCUAAAAAUGAAGUAAAACAGGCAACUUUGUCUACAUGUGUGUUUCCAGAGCUCUGGUCCUCUACAUAAAACAAAGAUAUUUGUAUGCUACAUGCCAGCAUUUUGCUUAUACUCCACUCUUGUGAUGUCUAAACUUGUAGCCUAUAACACUCUGCUAAGACUGUAUCCAAAGGCUGUAUUCAGAGGGUACAGGUGCAGCGGUGGAUUUAUACUUUCCUGUUGCAGCGGUGGAUUCUGAGGGUCCUGAGUCAGCGGUGGAUU
Molecule: long non-coding RNA, 482 nt
Organism: Pseudophryne corroboree (corroboree frog)
Lineage: Eukaryota; Metazoa; Chordata; Amphibia; Anura; Myobatrachidae
Exons: 5
Source: RefSeq, a predicted model, not a curated record